This 1442-nucleotide long non-coding RNA is filed under the name Homo sapiens (human). RNAcentral describes it as "MAP3K9 divergent transcript, transcript variant 2 (MAP3K9-DT)". Lineage: Eukaryota; Metazoa; Chordata; Mammalia; Primates; Hominidae. The record is from RNAcentral.
AACUGGGGUCCUCGCCGCCGGGCUGGCAGCGGCUGGAGAAGGCGCUGCGCGGGGUCACGUAGUUGCUGGGGAAGAUGCCCACCCGCUGGUUCAGCUGCCCGGUCCACCAGCCCUCGUCGCCGGACACCUGCGAGUCCUUGGACAGCACCUCCACCACGUCGCCCAGCCGCAGGGUCAGCUCGUCCUCGCCCGCCGCCUCGUACUCGAACACGGCCGUCCAGUAGGGCAGCGGCGCGUCGCAGCCCAGCUCCCCGGGGCCCACCGCCGCCGCCGCCUCCUCCUCCUCCUCCUCCUCCUCCUCGGCCCCGGCCCCUGCUCCAUCCUCCCCCGGCGGGGCGGCAGCGGCGGCGCUCGCUAGGCAGCCGAGAAGCGCUCUGGAGGGCUCCAUGGAGCGGCCGAUCCAUAGGGUGCGGGGCCGCCGCCGCCCGCAGGAGCCGCCGCCGCCUAUUGUUCAUGCGCCUCCGCAGAGCUGGGAGGACCCCCCCCCAACGACGGCGGCCGCAGCCUGGUUGCAGAGUGAGCCCAUGGGACAGCCCUCUGAAAUUAUACUGCUUACAACCAUGCUGAGUCUGCAAGGACUUCGUCCAAGCCUUUCCGUCCAGGACCUCAAACAGAUCCAAUCACAAGAAGAGAGAUUUCAGGAAAGAGAAAAUUAUUCCUAUCAUCGGGGUUUUUGAAGAACAUGAAAUGACUGGGAAAAUAAUCAUGUUAAGUGGAAAAAAAAAAGAAAUCUAUCUGUUGUAAUUUUCAAAUAAUUUUUAAAUAAAUUUGAAAAAUUAAGAGAACUAUAUAUAUAAUACAUUCCUAAUCUUGUGAAAAAUAUAUAUGCAUUAAUAUUAUUGAAAGAAAUAUAUCAAAAGGUGAACAGCAAUUAUCACCAAUCUAGAUUAUGAGAUUAGGAGUGAUUUUUUUUCUUUGUCCUAUACUAUUUAAUAUUUUCUACCAUUAAAAUAUUCUGAUUUUCUAAUUAGAAUAGUACGUUAGACAAAGAAGGACAAAUAUCACAUGAACUCUCACUCUCUUAUGGAACAGAUCUUGUGGAAUCUAAAAAAGUUGAACUCAUAGAAAAAGAGGAAAAUGAUGGUUACCAGUUAGAAAAAAGGAAUAAGUUCAAGAGAUCUAUUGUACACCAUGGUCAAUAUAGUUAACAAUAUAUUUUAUACUUUAAAAUUGCUAAGGUAGUAGAUUUUAAGUGUUCUCACCACACAAAAAAAUAAGUAUGUGAAAAGCAUAUGGUAAUUAGCUUGAUUUAACCACGCCACAGUGCAUACAUAUGUCAAAACAUCAUGUUGUAUACUAUAAAUAUAUACACUUUUUGUCAAUUUUAAACAGGUUAUAAAAAAACAUGUUAUUGUUGAUAAUUAUGAAAAAUUUUAAUGAUGUGGAAAUGUGUACAGUAUAAUGAUAAAUGAAAGAGUAGUAAAAAUCCUUAUAAAAUAUAA